This 278-nucleotide ribosomal RNA is filed under the name uncultured bacterium. RNAcentral's name for it is "partial 16S ribosomal RNA". It matches the Rfam family "Bacterial small subunit ribosomal RNA", at positions 80 to 354 of the family's 1533-position model. The record is from RNAcentral.
UACUCCCGCCGGCGACCGGCGCACGGGUGAGUAACACGUAUGAAACCUGCCCGUAGCAGGGGGAUAAGCGGAAGAAAUUCCGUCUAAUACCGCGUAACAACCCGAGGAGGCAUCUCCUCGGGUUUAAAGGAAGCGAUUCCGGCUACGGAUGGUCAUGCGUCGCAUUAGCUAGUUGGCGGGGUAACGGCCCACCAAGGCGACGAUGUGUAGGGGUUCUGAGAGGAAGGUCCCCCACACUGGUACUGAGACACGGACCAGACUCCUACGGAAGGCAGCAG